GGUGUAGCUCCGAUGGUAG
Molecule: microRNA, 19 nt
Filed under: Ciona intestinalis (vase tunicate)
Lineage: Eukaryota; Metazoa; Chordata; Ascidiacea; Phlebobranchia; Cionidae
Description: cin-miR-4175-3p
Source: miRBase by way of RNAcentral